UUUCUACGUAAGAUGGAAUCUGACUCUUUUCCCCAAUUCUCUCUUUUUCUAAUAAACAUAUUUCUCCCAUUAGGCUCUCCCUAUACUACCCUUAACUUAACCUAGUAAUUACCAUAUUUCCCUCAAAAUCACUACACUCCCCAUUUUUCUUAUUAUUUUCUUAUUCCAAAAUUUAUUUACUCAAUUAAUUAAAUAAACUCCUAUUUUCAUUAUUUAAUAUAAUUGAAAUAGCUAAAUAUUAUUUUUAAUUACUAAAAUAACUCUAAAUUAUUC
Molecule: long non-coding RNA, 273 nt
Filed under: Lathyrus oleraceus (garden pea)
Lineage: Eukaryota; Viridiplantae; Streptophyta; Magnoliopsida; Fabales; Fabaceae
Description: Pisum sativum (pea) long non-coding RNA (PSAT_LNC000430)
Source: RNAcentral